GAGGGUGUAGCUCAGUGGUAGAUCAUGUGCUUAGCACGCACAAGGUCCUGGCUUCAAUCGCCAGCACAUCCA
Molecule: transfer RNA, 72 nt
Filed under: Camelus bactrianus (Bactrian camel)
Lineage: Eukaryota; Metazoa; Chordata; Mammalia; Artiodactyla; Camelidae
Also listed under: 1 other name
Rfam family: tRNA
About the family: Transfer RNA (tRNA) molecules are approximately 80 nucleotides in length.
Source: Rfam by way of RNAcentral